RNAcentral lists this unclassified non-coding RNA (520 nucleotides) under uncultured Glomus. Its description in RNAcentral is "SSU rRNA". It matches the Rfam family "Eukaryotic small subunit ribosomal RNA", at positions 569 to 1091 of the family's 1831-position model. The record is from RNAcentral. Lineage: Eukaryota; Fungi; Glomeromycota; Glomeromycetes; Glomerales; Glomeraceae.
AGCAGCCGCGGUAAUUCCAGCUCCAAUAGCGUAUAUUAAAGUUGUUGCAGUUAAAAAGCUCGUAGUUGAAUUUCGGGAUCAGUUGGUCGGUCGUGCCUCGGUACGUACUGGUCAAAUUGAUUCCUACCUUCUGACGAACCACGAUGUCAUUAAUUUGGUGUCGUGGGAAAUCAGGACUGUUACUUUGAAAAAAUUAGAGUGUUUAAAGCAGGCUCGCGCUUGAAUACAUUAGCAUGGAAUAAUGAAAUAGGACGUUUGAUUCUAUUUUGUUGGUUUCUAGGAUCGACGUAAUGAUUAAUAGGGAUAGUUGGGGGCAUUAGUAUUCAAUUGUCAGAGGUGAAAUUCUUGGAUUUAUUGAAGACUAACUACUGCGAAAGCAUUUGCCAAGGAUGUUUUCAUUAAUCGAGAACGAAAGUUAGGGGAUCGAAGACGAUCAGAUACCGUCGUAGUCUUAACCAUAAACUAUGCCGACUAGGGAUCGGAUGAUGUUAAUUUUUUAAUGACUCAUUCGGCGCCUUAC